Molecule: unclassified non-coding RNA, 1185 nt
Filed under: Hevea brasiliensis (rubber tree)
Lineage: Eukaryota; Viridiplantae; Streptophyta; Magnoliopsida; Malpighiales; Euphorbiaceae
Source: RNAcentral
CGCACCUCUUGCUCGAUGGAAUCAAUUAAGACAAUUUCAGCUUUGGUUGAAGAAGAAAAUAUCCCAGAGGCAAAAAUUGCACUCACUUCUGGAGUGUCAGCCUUUUUAUGGUUAUAUACUUCUAUUCAAGGAUUUAAGCCUGCCACCGUAGUUGUCACUUCUGAUCUUCCACUGGGUUCAGGCCUAGGAUCAUCUGCUGCAUUUUGUGUUGCCCUCUCAGCUGCUCUGCUUGCUUUCUCAGACUCUGUAAAUGUGGACACAAAGCACCUAGGGUGGUCAAUAUUUGGAGAGUCUGACCUUGAAUUAUUAAACAAAUGGGCUCUCGAAGGUGAAAAGAUAAUUCAUGGAAAGCCAUGUGCGCUGACAGUGUUGUCUAUUCCAGAUNUAUGGCAACAUGAUCAAGUUCAAGUCUGGUAAUCUGACUCGCAUCAAGUCCAACAUGCCGCUCAAAAUGCUCGUCACUAACACAAGAGUUGGGAGGAACACAAAAGCACUGGUUGCUGGUGUUUCAGAGAGAACCUUACGGCACCCUAAUGCCAUGAGUUUUGUUUUUAAUGCCGUUGAUUCUAUCAGUAAUGAGCUGGCUAACAUCAUCCAGUCACCUGCUCCAGAUGAUGUGUCCAUAACUGAGAAGGAAGAGAAGCUAGAAGAGUUAAUGGAAAUGAAUCAAGGCUUGCUUCAAUGCAUGGGGGUCAGCCAUGCUUCUAUAGAAACUGUUCUUCGGACAACUUUGAAAUACAAGUUAGCUUCCAAGCUGACUGGAGCAGGGGGUGGGGGGUGCGUGCUGACACUGUUACCAACCCUGCUAUCAGGAACAGUUGUUGACAAAGCAAUUGCUGAAUUGGAGUCAUGCGGAUUUCAAUGUUUGAUUGCUGGAAUCGGUGGGAAUGGUGUUGAGUUUUGCUUUGGUGGUUCAUCCUGAUUAUACCAGGGCACCAAUAAAUUAUAAGAUCUUACAUCACUAGUGUCAAUUCUCAAAUAAUAAGAUAACAAGGUAUGGUGUGGUAAAGCUGAUUUAUUCAUCAGACAUCAUCUGUACGUUAUUUUGUUGUUGUUUUUCUUCCUCGUUUUAGUUUGAGUCAUGUUCAAACUUUCUUUGAAGUUUCUGGGGUAUUUAUCUUCAUUCUUUUCAGCAUUUAUGAGGACUACAAUAAUGUGUAGAAAAUCUGGACAUUUGUUGCUAUU